RNAcentral lists this ribosomal RNA (458 nucleotides) under uncultured bacterium. Its description in RNAcentral is "bacterial SSU rRNA". It matches the Rfam family "Bacterial small subunit ribosomal RNA", at positions 29 to 532 of the family's 1533-position model. The record is from RNAcentral.
AACGAACGCUGGCGGCAUGCCUAACACAUGCAAGUCGAACGAACCCUUCGGGGUUAGUGGCGCACGGGUGCGUAACGCGUGGGGAUCUGCCCAAAGGUUCGGAAUAACUCAGAGAAAUUUGAGCUAAUACCGGAUAAUGUCUUCGGACCAAAGAUUUAUUGCCUUUGGAUGAACCCGCGUAGGAUUAGCUUGUUGGUGGGGUAAAGGCCUACCAAGGCGACGAUCCUUAGCUGGUCUGAGAGGAUGAUCAGCCACACUGGGACUGAGACACGGCCCAGACUCCUACGGGAGGCAGCAGUGGGGAAUAUUGGACAAUGGGCGAAAGCCUGAUCCAGCAAUGCCGCGUGAGUGAUGAAGGCCUUAGGGUUGUAAAGCUCUUUUACCAGGGAUGAUAAUGACAGUACCUGGAGAAUAAGCUCCGGCUAACUCCGUGCCAGCAGCCGCGGUAAUGUCGAUAU